AAUGUGUGAAGGUUAUCCGCA
Molecule: non-coding RNA, 21 nt
Filed under: Gossypium hirsutum (cotton)
Lineage: Eukaryota; Viridiplantae; Streptophyta; Magnoliopsida; Malvales; Malvaceae
Source: RNAcentral